This 118-nucleotide ribosomal RNA is filed under the name Salmo salar (Atlantic salmon). The record is from RNAcentral. Lineage: Eukaryota; Metazoa; Chordata; Actinopteri; Salmoniformes; Salmonidae.
GCCACGGCCAUACCAGCCUGGGUACGCCCGAUCUCGUCUGAUCUCGGAAGCUAAGCAGGGUCGGGCCUGGUUAGUACUUGGAUGGGAGACCGCCUGGGAAUACCAGGUGCUGUAAGCA